This is a regulatory RNA element of Gorilla gorilla gorilla (western lowland gorilla), 46 nucleotides long. It matches the Rfam family "Histone 3' UTR stem-loop". From Rfam's summary of the family: The mRNAs of metazoan histone genes lack a poly-A tail. 3' end processing occurs at a site between a highly conserved stem-loop (modelled by this family) and a purine rich region around 20 nts downstream (the histone downstream element, or HDE). The record is from Rfam. Lineage: Eukaryota; Metazoa; Chordata; Mammalia; Primates; Hominidae.
AUAAAGGCUCUUUUCAGAGCCACCCACCAUCUCGAGAAAAGAGCCG